CAACACUUGUAUGGAUUGGCAUCAUCUUCAUUCUCCACUAAACAAACACCAAACAAUGUCCACAACCAACAUGCAAACAAACACUUUGGUUACAGAUACCACGUCUGUACUUGAGGAGAACGACCAUCGAGCGACAGGUCUUCUCCCCUGGAGGUUGGUGGCAACAAAACUGGAUGUCUUCGACAAGACAUCAGGACAUUUUCCAGCCGUGUUUGUGGAGACAUAACCUGGUCGUUCAGACUGUGACAGAAGCGAAAGGACAGUGGGAUCAACUUAAAAGCCAGGAAACAAAGCGAGUCUGUCGACUCCACUCUGCGUCUGAUCCACCACUGAUGCACUGGUCGGUGUUCACGUACCUGUCAGGAGCUGUGAGUGCGAGGAGGAAGCGGCUGUGUUCGUCGGGUGAUAUCCUUCCUCUCGGCAGCGGCGAGGAGAACGCCCUGCUCACACAAAGGGUGAGAAGGAAUUCCCGAGUGUGACACGAUGAGUCCUCUGGGAGUCCAAAGCGUUCAGGUGUCGCCACUCAGCACUCGUCCUCUGCUUCUCUGAUGGGCGGAAUCAAGCUGCUCGUGGAUUUAUACUGACUGACUUGGUUGACGGCGAGAGUAUUCACAGGCUUGAUCUGUAUGGUCCUCAGGUGGGUAUUCUCUGGCUCAUCUGUAAACCAUGUCUUUUCUGAGAAGGAGCCAAAAUCAUACAGAGACAAAGAGGAGGGACAGGAAACAGUUAAUGCUACAGUUUCGGUGGUUUUCAGUGCACAUAGAACAUUUGGGAGGACAUUUUUUUUUUUUUUAAACAAACAGUCGUUUGGAUUUGUAGAAAGAAAUUCUGACAUGAUAAAAAUAUGCUACAAGAUGUUUUUGUUUUGUUUUUUGGAAGGUCAAGGCCUAAAUGUCCCUUUUCACCUCUGUAACGUCACUCAUCUCGUGUGUUUUGAAGCAUGCUGUUUGUUGGGUCAGCAGACAUGCAGAUCACCAGUUAAACAAAAUCUGUUUCCACCGUACCAAAUUACAAGUUAAUACUUUUAACUUCACAAGUUUUAAUCUCUUCGAGGGGCUUCAGGCUUUUGGCUUGAUGCAACUCUCUUUUCUUAUAGAAGGGAAAAUAGAUAGUCUGGCAUAAUAUAUCGCUGGUGGUGAUUCAUCCGGUUGGCAAUAUCCGUGGUCAUGCAUUUUCAUCAAUAUGACUUAAGGCUGUGGUUCUACAGUACAUUAAAAUAAAUGCCAGCAGAUACAUGUUGCCAAUAACAAAACAUCAAACAUCGCUGCAGAGUAAAUGAAGUGGCAU
Molecule: long non-coding RNA, 1287 nt
Organism: Acanthopagrus latus (yellowfin seabream)
Lineage: Eukaryota; Metazoa; Chordata; Actinopteri; Spariformes; Sparidae
Exons: 4
Source: RefSeq, a predicted model, not a curated record